AUCCAGCUGUCAAGUCCCAUAUAGGACGAAACGCGUGUCCUGGAU
Schistosoma curassoni is the source of this 45-nucleotide non-coding RNA. Lineage: Eukaryota; Metazoa; Platyhelminthes; Trematoda; Strigeidida; Schistosomatidae. The record is from Rfam.